RNAcentral lists this ribosomal RNA (622 nucleotides) under Rhodotorula toruloides. RNAcentral's name for it is "eukaryotic LSU rRNA". It matches the Rfam family "Eukaryotic large subunit ribosomal RNA", at positions 34 to 668 of the family's 3401-position model. The record is from RNAcentral. Lineage: Eukaryota; Fungi; Basidiomycota; Microbotryomycetes; Sporidiobolales; Sporidiobolaceae.
UUGCAUAUUCCCAAAAGCGGAGGAAAGGAAACUAACAAGGAUUCCCCUAGUAGCGGCGAGCGAAGCGGGAAGAGCUCAAAUUUGUAAUCUGGCACCUUCGGUGUCCGAGUUGUAAUCUCUAGAAGUGUUUUCCGCGUUGGACCGCACACAAGUCUGUUGGAAUACAGCGGCAUAGUGGUGAUACCCCAUUACACGGUGCGGACGCCCAGCGCUUUGUGAUACACUUUCGACGAGUCGAGUUGUUUGGGAAUGCAGCUCAAAUUGGGUGGUAAAUUCCAUCUAAAGCUAAAUAUUGGCGAGAGACCGAUAGCGAACAAGUACCGUGAGGGAAAGAUGAAAAGCACUUUGGAAAGAGAGUUAAAAGUACGUGAAAUUGUUGGAAGGGAAACGCUUGAAGUCAGACUUGCUUGCCGGGCUUGCUCGGUUUGCAGGCCAGCAUCAGUUUUCCGGGGCGGAUAAUGGCAGUUAGAAUGUAGCAGUCUCGGCUGUGUUAUAGCUUUCUGCUGGAUACGUCCUGGGGGACUGAGGAACGCAGCGUGCCGUAUGGCGAGGGCUUCGGUCCUUUCACGCUUAGGAUGCUGGUGGAAUGGCUUUAAACGACCCGUCUUGAACCAACGGACCA